CGAGCGCAACCCUUGUCCUUAGUUGCCAGCACGUAAUGGUGGGAACUCUAAGGAGACCGCCGGUGACAAACCGGAGGAAGGUGGGGAUGACGUCAAGUCAUCAUGGCCCUUACGGCCAGGGCUACACACGUACUACAAUGGUAGGGACAGAGGGCUGCAAGCCGGCGACGGUAAGCCAAUCCCAGAAACCCUAUCUCAGUCCGGAUUGGAGUCUGCAACUCGACUCCAUGAAGUCGGAAUCGCUAGUAAUCGUGAAUCAGAAUGUCACGGUGAAUACGUUCCCGGGCCUU
This 290-nucleotide ribosomal RNA is filed under the name uncultured Stenotrophomonas sp. Its description in RNAcentral is "partial 16S ribosomal RNA". It matches the Rfam family "Bacterial small subunit ribosomal RNA", at positions 1093 to 1382 of the family's 1533-position model. The record is from RNAcentral. Lineage: Bacteria; Pseudomonadati; Pseudomonadota; Gammaproteobacteria; Lysobacterales; Lysobacteraceae.